GACGAACGCUGGCGGCGCGCCUAACACAUGCAAGUCGAACGAGAGAUGAGGAGCUUGCUCUUCAAAUCGAGUGGCGAACGGGUGAGUAACGCGUGAGGAACCUGCCUCAAAGAGGGGGACAACAGUUGGAAACGACUGCUAAUACCGCAUAAGCCCACGGCUCGGCAUCGAGCAGAGGGAAAAGGAGCAAUCCGCUUUGACAUGGCCUCGCGUCCGAUUAGCUAGUUGGUGAGGUAACGGCCCACCAAGGCGACGAUCGGUAGCCGGACUGAGAGGUUGAACGGCCACAUUGGGACUGAGACACGGCCCAGACUCCUACGGGAGGUAGCAGUGGGGAAUAUUGCACAAUGGGGGAAACCCUGAUGCAUCGACGCCGCGUGGAGGAAGAAGGUCUUCGGAUUGUAAACUCCUGUUGUUGAGGAAGAUAAUGACGGUACUCAACGAGGAAGUGACGGCUAACUACGUGCCAGCAGCCGCGGUAAAACGUAGGUCACAAGCGUUGUCCGGAAUUACUGGGUGUAAAGGGAGCGCACGCGGGAGAACAAGUUGGAAGUGAAAUCCAUGGGCUCAACCCAUGAACUGCUUUCAAAACUGUUUUUCUUGAGUAGUGCAGAGGUAGGCGGAAUUCCCGGUGUAGCGGUGGAAUGCGUAGAUAUCGGGAGGAACACCAGUGGCGAAGGCGGCCUACUGGGCACCAACUGACGCUGAGGCUCGAAAGUGUGGGUAGCAAACAGGAUUAGAUACCCUGGUAGUCCACACCGUAAACGAUGAUUACUAGGUGUUGGAGGAUUGACCCCUUCAGUGCCGCAGUUAACACAAUAAGUAAUCCACCUGGGGAGUACGACCGCAAGGUUGAAACUCAAAGGAAUUGACGGGGGCCCGCACAAGCAGUGGAGUAUGUGGUUUAAUUCGACGCAACGCGAAGAACCUUACCAAGUCUUGACAUCCCUUGACGAUGCUGGAAACAGUAUUUCUCUUCGGAGCAAGGAGACAGGUGGUGCAUGGUUGUCGUCAGCUCGUGUCGUGAGAUGUUGGGUUAAGUCCCGCAACGAGCGCAACCCUUAUGGUCAGUUACUACGCAAGAGGACUCUGGCCAGACUGCCGUUGACAAAACGGAGGAAGGUGGGGAUGACGUCAAAUCAUCAUGCCCUUUAUGACUUGGGCUACACACGUACUACAAUGGCGUUAAACAAAGAGAAGCAAGACCGCGAGGUGGAGCAAAACUCAGAAACAACGUCCCAGUUCGGACUGCAGGCUGCAACUCGCCUGCACGAAAGUCGGAAUUGCUAGUAAUCGUGGAAUCAGCAUGCCACGGUGAAUACGUUCCCGGGCCCU
This 1335-nucleotide ribosomal RNA is filed under the name uncultured bacterium. Its description in RNAcentral is "bacterial SSU rRNA". It matches the Rfam family "Bacterial small subunit ribosomal RNA", at positions 28 to 1382 of the family's 1533-position model. The record is from RNAcentral.